GUUUUGAUUUUAUCAUCAAUAUAGAGAGGCUAAACAAUAACUAACCAACAUAUGGAAUGAUGAACCAAUGCUAUUUAAUCCCAAAGAUUAUAAUUUGUUAUAACACAGUAACAUAGAAAGAUACAAGGAAGCUUAUAUAUCAUUGAUAAAAGAAAGAUACAAGGAAGCUUAUGUAUCAUUGAUAAAAUAGCCCUUACUGAUUACUAUUAAGACUUUGAUGAAGAAUUGCUUCUAUUGUGUCUGGCUUUUAAUUACAUAUAAUACAGGUUCUAGAUUUUUUUUCAGCAAAACAUGAAUUAUCUUUACCUUCCGUCAAGA
Molecule: unclassified non-coding RNA, 318 nt
Filed under: Hevea brasiliensis (rubber tree)
Lineage: Eukaryota; Viridiplantae; Streptophyta; Magnoliopsida; Malpighiales; Euphorbiaceae
Source: RNAcentral